AACCCGUGAUGAGGGCAAGAGAGAAGCAACUCUUUAAAUCUCUCCCAGCAUUCAUAAAAUAUUUCAUGGUCUUUUUGUUGGAAAUGUUAGAUGUAUGCCCUAGAAGCC
This is a non-coding RNA of Phoenix dactylifera (date palm), 108 nucleotides long. The record is from RefSeq and is a predicted model, not a curated record. NCBI's taxonomy places the organism in Eukaryota, Viridiplantae, Streptophyta, Magnoliopsida, Arecales, Arecaceae.